UGUGGGAGUGAGCCUGCUCGCGAUAGCGUUGGUUCAGUGACAUUUAUGUCGACUGACACACCGCAACCGCGAGCAGGCUCACUCCCACA
This 89-nucleotide unclassified non-coding RNA is filed under the name Pseudomonas arsenicoxydans. The record is from RNAcentral. Lineage: Bacteria; Pseudomonadati; Pseudomonadota; Gammaproteobacteria; Pseudomonadales; Pseudomonadaceae.